CACAAAGAGACUUACAUGAAUCCUUGAUGAGGACAGCCAGAGUAAAUUUUCUCCAUGCUCACAAUAUUGGCGAUGGGAAUUCUCUCUUUAAAAAAUUUGAAACAGCAUCUUUUGGGGCCGUCGGCUCAGUGUGACUUACGUUGGCCAUCGGCGUGAUGCAGCACGAUGCCAUACAGCAGGAGGGCCAGACAGAUGGAGAUCUUCAGCAUACUGAUGACUCGAUGACUCCCUGAGUGAGCGUAUGUGAGUGGACCAAUAAUGGAGUGCGUCGCGGACAGGGCCCUCCUUAUAUACUGCCAGUGUGAAUUAAUGAUUACGUUUCAGGCGUUCAUUAACGUGUUUGCAGCCCGGGAUGGCUCGACGAGAGGAUAAUAAUUGACCUGGUGUUGUGCAGAGCAGAACGAUAUCGAACAUAGUUAUAAUAGUUAUAAUGGUGAGUAUAACGGUAAUAAACAGAUGUGCAGAUUUUGGACAGUGGGACACAGAGUCAGUGAAUGGGGACAGCUAACCUCUCUGUUUGUGUGUAUAUAUAGGUAUAUGCUCAGCCUGUAUUUGCAUAUUUCAUAUAUAUGCUAAUUAACAAGGUAUUAACAGUAUUAACUAAUGUUUCAUUAACAUUAUCACAAUAAAAGUUUUCAUACAAACAAGAUUUUGUUGUUAGAUAUAAGCACUCCUGCCCAUCGUGCGCACAUAUCUAAUGGACUCUCUCUCUCUCUCUCUUCCUCUCCUGCCAGGACCAUGGAAAAGAACAAGAAGAAAGGGAAAAUCUUUUGAGCCCUUGUGCUGAUCUCCUUGCACUACACACGUGCACACACACAAAUGCACACACACACACACACACACGAACAAACACACACACACACACACACACACACACACAGUGUGUUUGACAAAAAGGGACUGUUUUCUCUUCUGUGUGUGAAGUUAAUGUAAUGAUAUUGAGAUGCUGUAAACAAGGGCGAUAUUGAUAUUGAGAUGCUGCUCUAUCUUUUAGAUACAUACAGAGAGGACUGUUAGAGCACACACACACAUACACACACAAUCUCUCUGUCUUUCUCUGUCUCACUCACAGGCAUACACACACACACACACACACAAUCUUUCUCUUUCUCUCUUACUCACACACAUACGCACACACACACACACACACACACACACACACAAUCUCUCUGUCUUUCUCUUUCUCUGUCUCACUCACACACAUACACACGCACACACACACACACACACAAUCUCUCUGUCUUUCUCUUUCUCUCUCACACACACACACAUACACACGCACACACACACACGCACAAUCUCUCUGUCUUUCUCUUUCUCUCUCACUCACACACACACACACACACACACAAUCUCUCUGUCUUUCUCCUUCUCUCUCACUCACACACAUACACACACACACACACACAAUCUCUCUGUCUUUCUCCUUCUCUCUCACUCACACACAUACACACGCAUGCACACACACACACACACACACACACACACAAUCUCUCUGUCUUUCUCUUACUCUCUCACACACACACAUGUUCACCUGUGUCUCAGGGUGAAGAGCGUGAAGGUGAACAGAAGGUGGGAGUUUGGGCCUAGCGGGCGGAGCAGAGGUGGCGCUGAACGCUUGUUAAAGGGAAACCGGCAGGUGUGGAAAUUUCCGUUCGGUGGCACGGAGGAGUCUUCGUUCCCGCCGUUCUGUCUGAAUUUCUCAAGUUUGUCUCGCAAGAUUGCGUUUUCAAGAAGUCAGUUUAUUUAUAUUUGUUUUUUUUAAAAUUUUAUUUUAUUUUAUUUUUUACAAAUUUGCCGUGCGUGAAAGCGAGCGUCGCAGGGGAACGCCGUGCGCCCGCGCGUGUAUGUCUAUGCAAACCGAGAUCACGCUAACUGCCUGGUCUGUCUUUCAGAGCGGCUACAAAGGUUAGUUCAGCAUUAGUGAAUUAAUGAUUACGUUUCAGUCGUUCGUUAACGUGUUUGCAGCCCGGGAUGUCUCGACGAUAGAAUAAUAAUUGACCUGGUGUUGUGCAGAGCAGAACGAUAUCGAACAUAGUUAUAAUAGUUAUAAUGUUGAGUAUAACGGUAAUAAACAGAUGUGCAGAUUUUGGACAGUGGGACACAGAGUCAGUGAAUGGGGACAGCUAACCUCUCUGUUUGUGUGUAUAUAUAUAUAUAUAUAUAAAUAUAUAUAUAUAUAUAUAUAUAUAUAUAUAUGUGUAUGUUUUAGUUUUCUUUUUUUAAAUGUAAUGGAACUUAAGAUCCCUGUGAGACAGUAGACUCCCGGUAUACGCUUACCCAUAACUUAUAACACACACACACACACAGAUACACACGCACUCUCGCACUCACACAUGCACAUAGACACACACACAUGCAGACACACAUUAAAACGUAUGCACACUCAAAUGCAGACAUGCUCACAAAUAUGCACAGACAUAUACAGACACGUGCACACAUACACACAUAUACAGGCACACACACAUGCCUGUAACACGACUUCCUGGCAGUGCAGGUGGUGUUUCCCGGGCCCCUGCUGUACUGCACUGUACUGUAGACUCGUGAAGCACAGAGGGGAACCAUGGCAACACACUAAGCAGACAUCGUCUCAGCUCAGCACGUCUCCCUGAACCUGGCCACCUGGUUGCCAUAGUAACAGGUGUCCCAGGUCCAGAGUGUGAGGGAUCCGUGAGCCACUGACAUCCUCGUGUGGAUUCCUUCUUCCUCAGAACCUUUCCAGACAAAACCAUCCUUUUUAAUGGUGGAUAUGACUAUAAUUUACUCUCUAUUUUUGUCUUUUUUUAAUAUGUAUGCGCUUUUCAACUCAUAUUCUAUUUUGCUGUAUUCAUUUAUCACGUUCUCUCUGCUUAACUGUACAUUAUUCAUAUUAAACAUGGAAAGGCUUGGCCAAUGGCACAGCUCCCUUGAUUGGUUAUUUUUAGGGGUGGGGGGAGUGGUAUGGUGGGGUAACAAACAAAGUCUAAGCACAUGGUUCCUGAAUACCUAAGACCAAGAAGGAUGUUUGUGAGAUACAAGACUUACAUUCACGCAUGAACGGACAGUGAAGCACACACUCAGACACAUACAUCUCUAUCGGGUGAGUUCCUGUUGCUCAGAAUGGAUUUCAACUUUUGUACUUUACCUUUAUUAACUUCAUGCUUGAGUCUGUUUAUGUAAAUGCAUUUUAUUUCUUAGAUGUACAGCAGUGCAUGUCAUAAUGAAGCAGUUCAGCAGACACUGGAGCCACUGCAUAAGCCUAACACAUAAAGCAGACCCCCCGCCCACCCCCAACAUACACUGACAGAGUGUCAGUUCCCCAUAAUUUGCCGUGCCGUUUGUGCCGUCCUGAGCUGAUAUGAGCAAUGCCAAACAAAUAUGAAAUAUGGAAUUUAUGUCUUAAUAUACCAUCACAGUUUACAUUUCUACAUAAGGCUGACUCUUUCUUUUCUCGUUUCACACCUAUUGUAAUAAAUUGUUACAAAUUCAAUUCACGAAUAAGCAAAGACAGGAUUCGCUAUGCUCUCAAGCGUAUAAAACAAACUUCACUGACGAACAGAUGAGAAGAUUUUUGGCUAUAACCCCGAUGACACUGAGGCGCCCUCUGAUGGAAACUUCAGUUUUGAGCUGUCUUCAAUUGAAAUAUUCUGCAUCCACGCAAAAUGAUUUUCCUUUGACGGUCUGAACACUGGAGGUGGAGAGUUGAGAGGCAGGUAAGGAAUUUCGUAAAUACUACUCAAAUACCUCAGAAAUUACAGACACCGUACUCACAGUUCCACAAAGAGACUUACAUAAAUCCUUGAUGAGGACAGUCAGAGUAAAUUUUCGUGAUGGUCACAAUGUUGGCGCUGGGAAUUUUGCUUUUAAAAAAUUUGAAACAGCAGCUUUCGGGGCCGUCGGCUCAGUGUGACUUACGAUGGCCGUCGGCGUGAUGCGGCAUGAUGCCAUACAGCAGGAGGGCCAGACAGAUGGAGAUCUUCAGCAUACUGAUGACUCGAUGACUCCCUGAGUGAGCGUGUGUGAGUGGUCCAAUAGUGGACUGCGUCGCGGACAGGGGCCUCCUUAAAUACUGCCAGUGUGGGG
Long non-coding RNA from Anguilla rostrata (American eel), 4062 nucleotides. RefSeq lists it as uncharacterized. The record is from RefSeq and is a predicted model, not a curated record. The transcript has 3 exons. Lineage: Eukaryota; Metazoa; Chordata; Actinopteri; Anguilliformes; Anguillidae.